AAUGUGAACUAAAAAGGUUUACUGUCUCUGAUAAAUAGGAUUCUCCUGAUAAGGAGUUUACUGAAGAAAUUCUAUCUUACACAGAUACCUUUUACAAGACAGUUGUUUCUUCUUUUAAAGGAGAUGUGAAUGAGGCUGAUACUGCUUUUGAUUACAUUGAGAAUGUUCUCUCCAAGUAUGAUAAUGGACCUUUCUUCCUUGGCCAAUUUAGUUUGGUGGAUAUAGCAUAUGCUCCUUUUAUGGAAAGAUUUCAACCUUUUCUAGUGGAAGUGAAAAAUUAUGACAUUACAUUGGGCAGACCUAAAUUGGCGGCAUGGAUUGAG
Molecule: long non-coding RNA, 323 nt
Organism: Vicia villosa (hairy vetch)
Lineage: Eukaryota; Viridiplantae; Streptophyta; Magnoliopsida; Fabales; Fabaceae
Exons: 3
Source: RefSeq, a predicted model, not a curated record